RNAcentral lists this unclassified non-coding RNA (224 nucleotides) under Hevea brasiliensis (rubber tree). The record is from RNAcentral. Lineage: Eukaryota; Viridiplantae; Streptophyta; Magnoliopsida; Malpighiales; Euphorbiaceae.
AAUCAACAUGGACAAGACAAGGGUCUCCGGAAUUGCUGGAUGGUUUGAUGUUCACUUUCGAGGUAGUGUACAGAAUCCGGGGAGCCAGGAAAUUCAGUUGACUACCGCGCCUAGCAUAGAUAAUCCGACACAUUGGGCCCAACAGGUAUUCCUUUUACAACCGCCUGUUAGAGUCAAUGAAGGCGAUGGUAUGGCGGUCUCUUUCAAAAUGGCUCGCUCCGAAG